This 72-nucleotide transfer RNA is filed under the name Gnathopogon taeniellus. RNAcentral's name for it is "tRNA-Asp". It matches the Rfam family "tRNA". Rfam says of the family: Transfer RNA (tRNA) molecules are approximately 80 nucleotides in length. The record is from RNAcentral. Lineage: Eukaryota; Metazoa; Chordata; Actinopteri; Cypriniformes; Gobionidae.
AAGACAUUAGUAAAAUGUAAAUUACGCCACCUUGUCAAGGUGGUAUUGCAGGUUAAAUCCCUGCAUGUCUUA